This 1249-nucleotide long non-coding RNA is filed under the name Homo sapiens (human). Its description in RNAcentral is "HSALNT0047021". Lineage: Eukaryota; Metazoa; Chordata; Mammalia; Primates; Hominidae. The record is from RNAcentral.
CUCCUUGCAUGGCUUGUUAGUAAAGGUUUUUGUUGAGUUUUAAGAACAGUUUUAAAAACAAACUCAACAAUUCAGAGAUUCAGUAACUGAGAACUGGCAAUGCAGAAUAAGAUGUGGCAUGCACAGGUGAGGACUGGAGGAACUGUGAGUGCCAGCUGGAGGAGAGAAGGCCAUGCCUGAACAGCCCACUCCCUAAGGAACCAGCAAGUGAUUCUUGAACAUUUAUGCCAGAGAAAUGAAGACUUAUCUUGACAUGAAAAUGAAUGGACGUUUAUUUGUAAUAGCCAAACCUGGAAACAAUCCAAGUGUCCUUCAACAGAUGGGGCCUCCACGUGAAAAGUAACUACAAAACAGAACCAGAAAAUAGUCAUGCUGUUCAAACAUUACACUCCAAGAAAAGAAACUCUAGUGUAUAACAGAGGGGCUCUGUCAAAAUUUAACAACAUAAAUAUUGGGCAAAUGAAGUUGUUUCUCUGGUGCUAUCUCAACCUGCCAAUGGAGAAAUAUCUCAAAAAGUCAAGAAUUGAAGCCAUUACUCAGAGACAGCAUCCUAUGGCAUGGUGAUCCAAAACAAGUACACCUCUACCUUUUCCCUUUCAGCCCCAAACCCCAAAACACUGGAGAAUAUUGGGGCAGGCAAGGCCCGUGAAUAGGUGAGCAGAGCUGGAAGAAGAGACUCCUGCCCCUGGUGGGCCUCAGGCUAUUUGUGGAAUGAUGUUUGUGAGAUGAACAUGUUCGCUCCCUCACCCGGAUGUUUUGGACAUAGGAGCCUGGAGUAAAGAGUGUAUAUCUUGGGCUGUCAUUUUCCCGUGUGAAAGGUGUUUUGUUUUCUCCCCGUUUGCACAACUUGUUUCCCUUAAACUGUGCUGUGCAUGGCUAGGAAGCUCAGCAAUAGACUAAACAGUUUGCGAUCCCACAGUUUUGCUUUCUGUUUCUCAGGCCUGACCCAACACUCCAUGGGUUCCCUAGCCCUUCGUAGGUGCUUCGAAACACUCAUGGGGUCCUUGACCUGAUCCCAGUGGGGGUUUGUGUGUGGAAGUUAGGGAACCUCUCUUUGAGAGUUCUGGUGCCCCUAACUCUGUAGGGUCUGACUUCACUUCUGCCCCAAUAAGAAUGAAAGGCUUUGCCAGUAGUGCAGCCCUCUCCUCCCAAAGUCCUAGAGGCAAUUACUCUGAAAUAUGGAAGAAAGAGGCACAUCUGAAAGCCCAGUGCUGUCUUCUUGUCCUCACAUCCCUCAGGAUCUCAAGGU